CAGCAGUCGCGGUUAGACUCUGGGCGGAUAACUUAAAUCUGCAGCAGAAGAAGGAGUAAACCCUAAUAAUCGCGGUAAAAUGUUUGUUGUAAGGGUCUCCCUUGAAGUCUUUUAAUUCGGGCUAGGCACAAGGAUUAGAUACCCUUUUAUUCCCGACUUUCCACGCAAAAGUAGUAGUUGGUACGGCCUCGAAAUUUAAAGGGUUUGGCGGCGCUCUACCCUAUUAGAGGAACCUGCUUAAUAACCGUCACUACGCGAUACACCUUACUCGGGUUUAGUUUGUAUACCGCCGUCUAAUUAAGUUCGGAAGAGCUAGGUCUAAGAGGCUACUAGAACGUCAGGUCGAGGUGCAGUUUGCCCGAGGGAACGCAGGUUACAGUGAUUUAACCCGCGGACUCUUUAUUGAAAGCAGGGGGGAAGAUGGAUUUAAUAGUUAUCGGGGGUUAGAAUACCCUGUUGAAGCGGCGCUAGAGCGUGC
RNAcentral lists this ribosomal RNA (478 nucleotides) under Tylos chilensis. RNAcentral describes it as "partial 12S small subunit ribosomal RNA". It matches the Rfam family "Bacterial small subunit ribosomal RNA", at positions 509 to 1384 of the family's 1533-position model. The record is from RNAcentral. Lineage: Eukaryota; Metazoa; Arthropoda; Malacostraca; Isopoda; Tylidae.